UGAAGGCAUGUAGCCGCAACGCAUAGAUGUACCUCUCAGAGUUUUAACAUGUAAAGCCAGUGAUGUAAUAAAGGCUUUUUAACUUUUCACUAUAAUUCGAGUGCCUUGGAGUUCUUGUCCUUAAAUACAUACUAUCCCAUACAACCAAAGAGCACCGAGAUUUCAUACCCCAUGCAGCACUUCUUGAUGCAUUCAGUGCUUUGAAGAAAUACAGUAAGUUGGAAAUUCUCUAAGAGACAAUGAUUGUUUGACUACACCACUGCCUGAGUUUGUUUUUUGUCUGUCCUCACUCAGCGUUUCCUUUAGAUACAGUGUAUAUGAUAUCGCCGUUGGGGAGAGGAUAGAGGUUACCUCCAUGGACUGAACUACCCAGUAGUGUUUGUUUUCUGAGUCGGAUCUGUGUCCAUCAGCGGUCAACUCCCACAGAGAGAGCUCUGGGUCCCAGGCCACCCCUUUCCCCUGCCGCCUUUCUGCUUGGCUGCACUCCUUUGGUUUCUGCAAUGUUGAGAAGAUGCCAAAUCUACUUGCCAACCCUCGUCUUAUUCUGUGUGGUUAGUAACAUUGUCACAACUAAUGCUGGUGGUCAGUUGCAAAGGGAGUACUUUUUAAAGAAAACCGACUCAACAUUGAAAAUGUUCCAAUAAUUUACUUACCCUCAGACCAUCAAAGAUGUAUAUGACUGUAUUUUUGUCAUCAGAACACAGUUUUUUUUUUUUUUUUUUCAGAAGGAAAUCCAGGUUUUGCAGAUGCAUUAACUGGUGCCAUCGCAUUUACAGUGAAAACAAGAGAUAAAAGGUAGCAUUACAACAAUCCACACAUCUCCACUCAAUCAGGCAAUGUCUUCUGAUGUGAAGCUCUAUGUUUGUAUAUAAAGCAUUUCAAAAUUAAGACUAUUAUUGGUGGUAUCAAUAUUUUCCUGUUACUAAGAAUUCGUAUCACAAACUAAAAUGGAAGCAGCAAUAUCCAUUGAUACAAACUGUGAUGUAAGCAGUGCUUGGCCAGUGUUUAUUCUGUGGAUUUUAAUGUAAGAAGAGCAGAAAAAGUUUGUUUUCCUCGAGGAAUUUACUUAGUUAUGCAUGCAGGUAAUUUAACACAGUCCCAUUAAUAUUUUGUAUUUUG
Molecule: long non-coding RNA, 1119 nt
Organism: Cyprinus carpio carpio
Lineage: Eukaryota; Metazoa; Chordata; Actinopteri; Cypriniformes; Cyprinidae
Source: Ensembl